AGAAACGUUUGUAGUUGAUGGUACUUUAAAAUUUUUUUUAGUUGAAAAAUAAGUGCGUAAUGCGUUUUAUUUUAAUGAAUUCUGGUCCAGAAUCGUUUGUAGUU
Long non-coding RNA from Rhagoletis zephyria (snowberry fruit fly), 104 nucleotides. RefSeq lists it as uncharacterized. The record is from RefSeq and is a predicted model, not a curated record. NCBI's taxonomy places the organism in Eukaryota, Metazoa, Arthropoda, Insecta, Diptera, Tephritidae.